UACGUAGGGUGCAAGCGUUAAUCGGAAUUACUGGGCGUAAAGCGUGCGCAGGCGGUUAUGUAAGACAGGGGUGAAAUCCCAGGGCUUAACCUUGGAACUGCAUUUGUGACUGCAUAGCUAGAGUACGGUAGAGGGGGAUGGAAUUCCGCGUGUAGCAGUGAAAUGCGUAGAUAUUGGGAAGAACACCGGUGGCGAAGGCGGCGACCUGGUCCGAUACUGACGCUGAGGAGCGAAAGCCAGGGGAGCAAACGGG
This 253-nucleotide ribosomal RNA is filed under the name uncultured bacterium. RNAcentral describes it as "partial 16S ribosomal RNA". It matches the Rfam family "Bacterial small subunit ribosomal RNA", at positions 524 to 776 of the family's 1533-position model. The record is from RNAcentral.